Molecule: unclassified non-coding RNA, 262 nt
Filed under: uncultured fungus
Lineage: Eukaryota; Fungi
Description: sequence contains ITS1, 5.8S rRNA gene
Rfam family: 5.8S ribosomal RNA (bases 214-262)
Source: RNAcentral
UUUCCGUAGGUGAACCUGCGGAAGGAUCAUUAUCCAUCUUCAACCAGCUGCGGUCGCGGCCCCACGCUUACCCGUGGUGGUGCGCGCCGCACGUCUGCACCCUUUCUUUACGAGUACCUUCGUUCUCCUUCGGCGGGGCAACCUGCCGCUGGAACUUAACAAAACCUUUUUUUUGCAUCUAGCAUUACCUGUUCUGAUACAAACAAUCGUUACAACUUUCAGCAAUGGAUCUCUUGGCUCUGGCAUCGAUGAAGAACGCAGC